This 466-nucleotide ribosomal RNA is filed under the name uncultured bacterium. Its description in RNAcentral is "partial 16S ribosomal RNA". It matches the Rfam family "Bacterial small subunit ribosomal RNA", at positions 28 to 507 of the family's 1533-position model. The record is from RNAcentral.
GAUGAACGCUGGCGGCGUGCUUAACACAUGCAAGUCGAACGAUGAAGCUCAGCUUGCUGGGUGGAUUAGUGGCGAACGGGUGAGUAACACGUGAGUAACCUGCCCUUAACUCUGGGAUAAGCCUGGGAAACUAGGUCUAAUACCGGAUAGGAGCGUCCACCGCAUGGUGGGUGUUGGAAAGAUUUAUCGGUUUUGGAUGGACUCGCGGCCUAUCAGCUUGUUGGUGAGGUAAUGGCUCACCAAGGCGACGACGGGUAGCCGGCCUGAGAGGGUGACCGGCCACACUGGGACUGAGACACGGCCCAGACUCCUACGGGAGGCAGCAGUGGGGAAUAUUGCACAAUGGGCGAAAGCCUGAUGCAGCGACGCCGCGUGAGGGAUGACGGCCUUCGGGUUGUAAACCUCUUUCAGUAGGGAAGAAGCGAAAGUGACGGUACCUGCAGAAGAAGCACCGGCUAACUACGUG